RNAcentral lists this ribosomal RNA (480 nucleotides) under uncultured bacterium. RNAcentral describes it as "partial 16S ribosomal RNA". It matches the Rfam family "Bacterial small subunit ribosomal RNA", at positions 28 to 506 of the family's 1533-position model. The record is from RNAcentral.
GAUGAACGCUGGCGGCGUGCUUAACACAUGCAAGUCGAACGAAGCACUUUAUUUGAUUUCCUUCGGGACUGAUUAUUUUGUGACUGAGUGGCGGACGGGUGAGUAACGCGUGGGUAACCUGCCUUGUACAGGGGGAUAACAGUUGGAAACGGCUGCUAAUACCGCAUAAGCGCACGGCAUCGCAUGAUGCAGUGUGGAAAACUCCGGUGGUAUAAGAUGGACCCGCGUUGGAUUAGCUAGUUGGUGAGGUAACGGCCUACCAAGGCGACGAGCCAUAGCCGGCCUGAGAGGGUGACCGGCAACAUUGGGACUAAGGCACGGCCCAAACUCCUACGGGAGGCAGCAGUGGGGAAUAAUGCACAAUGGGCGAAAACCUGAUGCAGCGACGCCGCGUGAGCGAAGAAGUAUUUCGGUAUGUAAAGCUCUAUCAGCAGGGAAGAUAAUGACGGUACCAGACUAAGAAGCACCGGCUAAAUACGU